ACGCUGGCGGCGUGCCUAAUACAUGCAAGUAGAACGCUGAAGAGAGGAGCUUGCUCUUCUUGAAUGAGUUGCGAACGGGUGAGUAACGCGUAGGUAACCUGCCUUGUAGCGGGGGAUAACUAUUGGAAACGAUAGCUAAUACCGCGUAACAAUGGGUGACACAUGUCAUUUAUUUGAAAGGGGCAAUUGCUCCACUACAGGAUGGACCUGCGUUGUAUUAGCUAGUAGGUGAGGUAACGGCUCACCUAGGCGACGAUACAUAGCCGACCUGAGAGGGUGAUCGGCCACACUGGGACUGAGACACGGCCCAGACUCCUACGGGAGGCAGCAGUAGGGAAUCUUCGGCAAUGGGGGUAACCCUGACCGAGCAACGCCGCGUGAGUGAAGAAGGUUUUCGGAUCGUAAAGCUCUGUUGUAAGUCAAGAACGAGUGUGAGAGUGGAAAGUUCACACUGUGACGGUAGCUUACCAGAAAGGGACGGCUAACUACGUGCCAGCAGCCGCGGUAAUACGUAGGUCCCGAGCGUUGUCCGGAUUUAUUGGGCGUAAAGCGAGCGCAGGCGGUUUGAUAAGUCUGAAGUUAAAGGCUGUGGCUCAACCAUAGUUCGCUUUGGAAACUGUCAAACUUGAGUGCAGAAGGGGAGAGUGGAAUUCCAUGUGUAGCGGUGAAAUGCGUAGAUAUAUGGAGGAACACCGGUGGCGAAAGCGGCUCUCUGGUCUGUAACUGACGCUGAGGCUCGAAAGCGUGGGGAGCGAACAGGAUUAGAUACCCUGGUAGUCCACGCCGUAAACGAUGAGUGCUAGGUGUUGGAUCCUUUCCGGGAUUCAGUGCCGCAGCUAACGCAUUAAGCACUCCGCCUGGGGAGUACGACCGCAAGGUUGAAACUCAAAGGAAUUGACGGGGGCCCGCAC
Molecule: ribosomal RNA, 911 nt
Filed under: uncultured bacterium
Lineage: Bacteria
Description: bacterial SSU rRNA
Rfam family: Bacterial small subunit ribosomal RNA
Source: RNAcentral